ACGUGCAGGACUCCUGCAGCAUGUAAAGAAGAGCCACUUUGAACGUCAGAAAAGCAGAUGAGCUCUGUGCUACCCAGCUUGUGGCUUUUUGCACUGCUUUGAGGAUUUUGAGAUACCUUGAUUCAGCUAGAGCCCCAAGAGAGGCUGGACAGGCUGGGGGCAGCUAUAGGACAGAAGGACCUGAACAAUCCAUGGACAGGAGGAGUUUGAGUCUCUGCAAAAAACCACCCUUUUCAUAG
Molecule: long non-coding RNA, 239 nt
Filed under: Ailuropoda melanoleuca (giant panda)
Lineage: Eukaryota; Metazoa; Chordata; Mammalia; Carnivora; Ursidae
Description: lncRNA (ENSAMEG00000030664.1)
Source: RNAcentral